GUCCCUGUAGUAUAAUGGAUAGAACGCGAGGUUGCGGACCUCGAAAACCGAGUUCAAUUCUCGGCAGGGACA
RNAcentral lists this transfer RNA (72 nucleotides) under Nanobdellota archaeon. RNAcentral's name for it is "tRNA-Arg". It matches the Rfam family "tRNA". Rfam says of the family: Transfer RNA (tRNA) molecules are approximately 80 nucleotides in length. Their secondary structure includes four short double-helical elements and three loops (D, anti-codon, and T loops). Lineage: Archaea; Nanobdellati; Nanobdellota. The record is from RNAcentral.